GUAGGUGGCAAGCGUUGUCCGGAAUUAUUGGGCGUAAAGCGCGCGCAGGCGGUUCUUUAAGUCUGAUGUGAAAGCCCACGGCUCAACCGUGGAGGGUCAUUGGAAACUGGAGAACUUGAGUACAGAAGAGGAAAGCGGAAUUCCACGUGUAGCGGUGAAAUGCGUAGAGAUGUGGAGGAACACCAGUGGCGAAGGCGGCUUUCUGGUCUGUAACUGACGCUGAGGCGCGAAAGCGUGGGGAGCAAACAGGAUUAGAUACCCUGGUAGUCCACGCCGUAAGCGAUGAGUGCUAAGUGUUAGGGGGUUUUCCGCCCCUUAGUGCUGCAGCUAACGCAUUAAGCACUCCGCCUGGGAGUACGGCCGCAAGGCUG
Molecule: ribosomal RNA, 371 nt
Filed under: uncultured organism
Description: partial 16S ribosomal RNA
Rfam family: Bacterial small subunit ribosomal RNA
Source: RNAcentral